This is a long non-coding RNA of Folsomia candida, 1816 nucleotides long. RefSeq lists it as uncharacterized. The record is from RefSeq and is a predicted model, not a curated record. The transcript is spliced from 2 exons. Lineage: Eukaryota; Metazoa; Arthropoda; Collembola; Entomobryomorpha; Isotomidae.
UAAUUUAUCGCAUGACUCUCAACAUUUCUUAUCAGUCAUCCGGGUCGAUUGAUUGAUUUAAGUUACCUAUCGCAUUUUCCUCCUUCAGCCAUAUAUAUUUUAACAUCAUAGCAAUUAUACAAGUCAAUUGUAUCGUAGCUUACUUGUUGAACAGUUCGCCGAAGUAAGAGAAGUUAUUCCUGCUAAUACUCAAAAUAAGAGUGGGUAAAAUGUAUACCUUACCUACAGGGGCAAGGCUGUUCCUUACAGCCUCUCUUUACAUGUUUAAUUCUGCCAGUGCUCAGUUGUUGGAAGCCCAAUAUCUUGACGUACGUUUCCCGGAUGAUGCCAGUUGCAAAUUGCCCUACUAUGAUGGCAACGACAGCAUUUACCUGUUCGACGGUUGUAUGUUGGCUAGAUAUAACAUCCACCUCUUUACCAUGAAAUCAUGGAUCUGAAAUUGUGGCCAACUUUCCGCUCGAGAUCUAUAGCGCAGCUGCAAAUCGCGCGGGAAACAUGGUUUAUUUUUUUGAUGAUAACCAAAAGAGCAACAGACAAGCUCUCCAAUUGGACCUCAAUAAUUUUCGCGUCAUGUUUGUUGGACCACCCACACUACCCAUUUAUAAUUCUUAUCCAAACUCUGUUUAUACUGGGGAAUUCAUCUACAUCUUGGGAGGGCAUGUCAUAAGUACUGGAGCUGAUCCAAUUUACACGGAUGGAAUUUAUGAGUUUGAUCCAAGUACUUUUGAAAGUAGAUUCAUUCAAGUCGCAAAUCUACCACUUCGUAGGUCUGACAGUAUCUUUCUUUUGGCCCCUGCCAUGGUGUUUGUACCUCAUUCCAACAGAAUCUACUGCUUUGGUGGAGUGGAAUUGACGGACGAUUUACCCAUAUUCCUCGACUAUGUGUUUUUUAUCGACCUGACCCCGUUACGAGACCAAAAUGUAUCUGCUUCAUCGUUAAUAGCAGAACCAUUGUAGAAUUGUGUGCAAACAUCUAUUGAAGUAAAUCUAGCAAUCACAUAAAUAUAUACUUACUCUGGUAAAUAUCCUUAAUAGAAAACGCGCAUAAACCAUACAAAAUUAGGAAUCCAGCUUGGUCAGUCAAGUGGUUGACCCGUGGGGGUGAUUGGAGUGGGUGGGAUAUUAUUUUAUCUGCGAUUUUCUGCGAUACUUCUACGAUUUUUUUAAGCUUAGGGACCUUUUUGUUCGACUCCUGCGUAGACAUUUUGUCAUACAUUUUUUUGAUAACUCUGCGAAUACACCUUACACUAUGAUUGAAAUAAAAUUUAAACUAUUUAUAUUAUGCACCAAAAUUUCAAAAUUAUAGUAGAAAGCUGAAACAGAGGAUGUGAAUAGGUCCUAAUAGAAUAGUAUGAAUUAAAAUUAGAAAAUUUCAUCCGGAGGGACCCAAUGAGGUGACCUUUACCGAUUUUCAGAAAUUAACAAGAAAACCUGAAAUUUGAAUGUGCGAAUUGCACUUUAUCUGAUCGACAUGUUCGGAAAUAUAUCUGACAUAAAAUAAAUAAAUGCUCAUAUUAAAAAAAAUCCAACUCGGCGUGGAACAGUGUCAGAUUUGGAUUGAUGAUUCAGAUCUUAAUUAUGUUGAACUAUGUUAAGCUUCAAUUGCAAUUAUGGAAUAAUGCAUUUCAUUUAUUUUAUAGUCGUACUCGUAAUCUUUAUUCGUCAAUAAACCAGUAAAGCUCUCAAAUGUGUUAACAAUAUUUAACAAGAUCGAGUACAAUCUAUUCUGUAACUAGUAUUUACUCAAAAUCUGUAUUUUAAUUAAAAAUUAAUUAAUUAAUCAUCUACCUAUUAAAAUGGUUACUGUCGCAAAAAA